CAAGGGGCGGGGCCUGUGCCCGCGCAGCUCUCACCGCGGUCCCCUUAUUUGGAUCUGCGGGAAUGUGGGCUGGAGCGGUCCUGCAGCGGUACCAGCCUCCAGCCUGUCGCCGGGACUGCCCCUGACCCAGGCGCGCCCGCUGCUCGGUGGCAGGAGGGCCGGCGGAGCGCCAUGGCCUGCAUCCUGAAGUUUUCCUUGCCAGCCAUCACCUGCCAAUUGGUUCUUGUCUAUGGAAGUGUUCUGAGUUGGAAAAUGAGGGAACCAGCUCUGACCUGCAUUUUACAGCAGCUGUCUGCUGCACUCUUCAGCAUCAAGCACGAGGAAGACGCUGGUGGCCUCUCACUGUGCUUCUGGACUGUGUUUGCACUGCGUCUGCACUGAAUCCCACCAAGUUGCUCACAGCUUUGACAAGGUUUGAGGAUUUGACAAUGUUUAGGUCUGGAUACAGCAGAAUGAUGAAACAGUGAGUGCUGGUGAUCAGAAUAUGAGUGGUGGUUUGGGACUCAGCUUCACACUGAACCCCUUUCAACUUGCAGUGCAAGGCUCUGUGGUCCAUCUGGAAGGAACCAUAAAGCAUCUUUUGUCAUCUUGUUUCAGUACCUAGAAUAAAUUCAGAAGAUCAGAAGUGGGUUUCUCUGUACAAAAAAGCAUGUGUUUCCCAUCAGCAGACAGCAGACUCCUUUGUAGCUGGAUUCAGAAUCUUCGUUGUGGACUGCUCCUGGCAUUAUCUCAGCUUUUGCAGGUCUGGGGGUGACUCCUUUUCACUUCUAUGUCUUCUCCUUAACAGCAAGAUCUGCUUCAUCCUGAUAUAUUUUUAAGUACCAGUCAGGGUGUGACUUGUUCCCUUGCUGAGGUGUUCACUGAUGCCCAGCACCCCAGCCUCUUACUUUAAUUCCCAGUUUCUGUGUUAGAGUCUUAUUUAGAUAGAUGGAACCAAUUGAGUGGGCCCUGCUGAAGAGCCAUAUUCAGUUACUGUAAAUCUUCCUCCUGGUGUUGCAGACAGUGAGGUCUCCUGGGAUUUUGUUGGGAAAUCUUAUUGGAUUUGCAAGACUUAAGAUAAUAUAGAAACCCUCCUCAAAUAGUAAAGGGCCUCAUUUCUUUGCCUUGAAAGAUGUUUUCAGAGUCUGUCUCAAGAGUCUUGCUGAUAAGGAAGUUACUUCUAAUAUUUCAAGAAAAACAGAACACACAAAGCCUUCUAUUUUCUUAGUGCUUUGCCUCUCCAUGCCCUUAUAUCUCUUUAACAUCAUUUUUAUGCUUUUCCUCUACAUUUCUUUCCCUCUUUCUCUCACUCACUCUUUAACCUUAGGCCCGUGUUUCAAAUGGACUUAAUUACUAACCAUGAAACUUGGUAAUGAUGCCCUUAGGGGAAAAGUCUUUCUUCUUUCAUUUUCCCCGACUUUGGCGAGCAGGGAAUGUCUCUUACAGACAUAAGUGAAUACGUUUCAUGAUAAAGUAUGUUUUUUCCUAAUCAAGUGAGCAUCUCCUUGCUCAUAUAAAGGGUACAGUUCUGUUGCUCUGAGAAGCAGCAUCUAACAGAAGAAAGAAUGUUAGCCUUGGAGUCAGAACCAUGUUAGAAACCCUGCUCCAUCUUUAUUUUGAGCACAUUAUAUCACUGCUCUGCAUGUCCAUUAAUUUGUCUGUAAUACGGGGAUAAUAAUAUCUACUAUGCCAUGUUCACAGUUAGGAACAGUAUGCAUACCACUAAUAAGUACCUGGCAUAUAGUGGACAUUCAAAUGGUAGUUGUAAACAACUCCAGCCAGGAUCUUUGAUAAAUGUCUUCUUUCAGACUUCCUGAGUCCAGGAGCCUUUGUAACCUUCAUGCCUUCAGUAAACUAUAUCUUGUGUUUCAAAAACUCAAAGACUGAAACUCUGGUUAAAACAAAAUCCAGAGUUUCCCAGGUCUUCAGUGAUGUUUUUAAAAGGAAAGUUUUGAGGCAGGAAAUAAGAUUUUUGGAAUCAUCUUUAAGAUUUUUGUGUGCUUAUGGUAAUUAGCUUCAUAAAAUGCAUGUCCUCAAAGAUGUGGGUGGAUGUGUAAACAAGGAAGCUGGUGUUACAGGAACCCAUGCAUCAUGGAAGGCCCAAACAACUCCCUCUGAGGAAGAAUGUCCUUGGGAGUUGGGCUUUAAUCAACAUGAGAAGCCAUCAUGUGUGCCCCAGGCCAUUAGUAAUAUUUCUGUUGGCGGCAGAGUGAUACUGUAUCUGCUUGGCUAAAAAAUAUGAAUUUUCUGGUCUCUUAAUAACAGAUGGUGGUGAAGGGGUACAUAGUAUCUGUUAUGAUACUGCGUGUUUGUAUGCCCUCCAAAGUUCAUAUGCUGAAACCCUAGUCUUCAGUCUGAUGGUAUGUGGGCAUGGAGCCUUUGGGAAGUAAUGAGAUCACGAGGGUAGAACCUUCGUGAUUAGACUGGUACCCUCAUAAGAAGAGACGGGGAGACCGUGCUUCCCCUCUGUCUGUCUCUCUUUCUGUCUUUAUCUCUCUGUCUCUCUCUGUCCUUUGCCUCUGUCCUCAUCCCUGUUUCUGUCUGUCUCUCUCCUUUUUCUCUUGGCCAUGUGAGGAUCCAUCCAGAAAGUGGCUCUCUAUACACCAGACAAUGGAUCUGCAGUACCUUGAUCUUGGAUUUUCCAACCUCCCAAACUGUGAGAAAUAAAUGUUUAUUUAAACCACCAGUCUAUAUUAUUUUUUUUAGCAGCCCAAACCGACUAAGACAGCAGUGAAAGGGGCUGUGGCAAGUAGUAUGUUAUUCAAAUAAAGUAUGUAGACUUUAAUGCAAAUCAGAAAUGGAAAUAAAGUCAAGAGUCUGUAUUUAUUUAUAAUAAACUUUGUGUGUUAAGUGGGCUUUUCUGUUCUCAUAUUUUACUAUGUGUUGAAAUAAUAAACAUUUAUGAUAUUCUUCUGGCUUGUAGUGUUUUCAUCAUUUUAUGUGGAUUAUCUUAUUUAUUCUUCACCAUGGUGCUGAGGAAGGUAUUAAUAUUUUCAGUAGCAUCAAGAGGUUAGAAUAAAGAUUCCACAAGGGCACUUGGUAAUGUGUUGGUGG
Molecule: long non-coding RNA, 3033 nt
Organism: Capra hircus (goat)
Lineage: Eukaryota; Metazoa; Chordata; Mammalia; Artiodactyla; Bovidae
Source: Ensembl